RNAcentral lists this ribosomal RNA (1428 nucleotides) under Bragasellus peltatus. Its description in RNAcentral is "bacterial LSU rRNA". It matches the Rfam family "Bacterial large subunit ribosomal RNA", at positions 1494 to 2925 of the family's 2925-position model. Lineage: Eukaryota; Metazoa; Arthropoda; Malacostraca; Isopoda; Asellidae. The record is from RNAcentral.
ACUGACGGAAUAGUUCGUUAAAGGGUGUAGUUAUAAGAUUUAUAGGCAAAUCCGUAAAUUUUGAUGAAACCUGAUAGUACAGCAAAGCUUCGGCUGCGUUGAUAGUGACUGUAACCAGACUGCCGAGAAAAACUUCUAAGGUUCGUUUAACACACCCCGUACCGUAAACCGACACAGGUAGUCGAGGAGAGAAUCCUAAGGUGCUCGAGAGAUUCAUGGCUAAGGAAUUAGGCAAAAUAGACCUGUAACUUCGGGAGAAAGGUCGCCCACAGCAAUGUGGGCCGCAGUGAAGAGGUCCAGGCGACUGUUUAUCAAAAACACAGGGCUCUGCAAAAUCGUAAGAUGAAGUAUAGGGCCUGACACCUGCCCGGUGCUGGAAGGUUAAGAGGAGAUGUUAUCUUCGGAGAAGCAUUGAAUUGAAGCCCCAGUAAACGGCGGCCGUAACAAUAACGGUCCUAAGGUAGCGAAAUUCCUUGUCAGGUAAGUUCUGACCCGCACGAAUGGUAUAAUGAUCUGGGCGCUGUCUCGGCUUCAAACUCGGUGAAAUCUUAGUCCCUGUGAAAAUGCAGGGUAGACGCAGUAAGACAAUAAGACCCCGUGAAGCUUUACUAUAACUUCAUAUUGGUUUUUGGUUUAACAUAUGUAGGAUAGGUGGGAGUCUAUGAAGUGAUGACGCUAGUUGUCAUGGAGACAUCCUUGAAAUACCACCUUUGUUAAAUUGAGGACCUAACUUGCACCCCUUAUCUGGGUGGAGGACAGUGUGUGGUGGGUAGUUUGACUGGGGCGGUCGCCUCCCAAAAGGUAACGGAGGCGCACAAAGUUACACUCAACAUGGUCGGAAAUCAUGUGUGGAGCGCAAAAGUAUAAGUGUGAUUGACUGUGAGACUUACAAGUCGAGCAGGGUCGAAAGACGGUUUUAGUGAUCCGCUGGUUCCUUGUGGAAGGGCCAGCGCUCAACGGAUAAAAGUUACUCCGGGGAUAACAGGCUUAUCUCCCCCAAGAGUUCACAUCGACGGGGAGGUUUGGCACCUCGAUGUCGGCUCGUCUCAUCCUGGAGCUGUAGUUGGUUCCAAGGGUUGGGCUGUUCGCCCAUUAAAGAGGCACGCGAGCUGGGUUCAGAACGUCGUGAGACAGUUUGGUCCAUAUCUACUGUGUCCGUAGGAUAUUUGAGAAAAGCUUCCCCUAGUACGAGAGGACCGGGGUGGACGUACCACUGGUGUUCCGGUUGUCCUGCCAAGGGCAUGGCCGGGUAGCUAUGUACGGAAUCGAUAAAUACUGAAAGCAUCUAAGUAUGAAGCGAAUUUCAAGAUAAGAUAUCCCACUCUUUAUGAGGUAAAUUCCCUUAUAGACUAUGAGGUUGAUAGGCUGGGUGUGUAAGUGUAGUAAUGCAUUGAGCUAACCAGUACUAAUUGAAUGGGAAAUCAUGUG